Molecule: ribosomal RNA, 253 nt
Filed under: uncultured bacterium
Lineage: Bacteria
Description: partial 16S ribosomal RNA
Rfam family: Bacterial small subunit ribosomal RNA
Source: RNAcentral
GACGAACCGUGCGAACGUUGUUCGGAAUCACUGGGCUUAAAGGGCGCGUAGGCGGGCUGCCAAGUCGGGGGUGAAAUCUUUCGGCCCAACCGGAAAAGGGCCUCCGAUACUGGCAGCCUCGAGGGGGGUAGGGGUCGGCGGAACUUCCGGUGGAGCGGUGAAAUGCGUAGAUAUCCGGAGGAACACCAGGGGCGAAGGCGGUCAACUGGUCGAGUUCUGACACUGAGGCGCGACGGCGUGGGGAGCAAACCGG